GGCGGCAGGAAGAGAAGCGGAGCUGGCGCUGGCUGAUCCCAUUUGCUGCGGCGCCUACAGUCACUUCCAUCCGGAGACUCGGCUCGGCCGGGAACGCUCUGCGUUCGCCUUCUCCUUGGCUCGCCCUUCUAAAAGGCUCCGAGUUCCCUCCCUUCCCUCUCGCACCGCGGCCGGCCUCUUUCCGGGCGCCCGAGGCCAGCUCAACAUUCUCUCCAGAACCCCGGCCUCGGCAUGCGGACGCGUCCUACUAGACGGCCCGUCCGGCCCACACGCAGCCUCGCCAGUCUCCCUGCCCCGGGCCCGUGCUCGCUGCCCCCAGCCUGGUCCGCGAAGCCCUUACCCGCCAGCGGCUGGAUGUGUCGCGCUCCCUGCGGACAUGGCGGCCUGCUCCAGUCAACCACCCGCCAACUACCCACCACCGCCCUCCCGCCACUUCCGCCCAACGCGCUGACGCACGGCCUCUUCCGGCCGUGAGGUAAGGCGGGUCCGGUGAGGACUCUUGAUUCCGAUUGGACCCUCGGUGAUUUAAAGCGUCUGGCGUCUCAGUGACAGGAGUGCCUGCCUGUCGACUCUCCGGCUUGCUCUCUUGCCCUUAAUAAAAAUGGUUGUUGGGCCUGGUUUAAAAGCGAGUUGCGGGCUAGGAAAAUCCAUUUUUAUUGUGGGCAAGCGAGUUGCCUGGAAGACAAGUCAGAAAAUGAAGCCGACUUUCUCCGCGUUCUCUUUGCUCACGUGGAGUCCCAGCCUGUAGCGGAGGAGAACCCUGCCGGCGACUUCAGCGCACUUCUCCAUUCAGCUUAUGAAAAAAGGAAAUGAUUCUUUCCAAAGUCAUUUGCACAACUUCCUUUUCUUUCUUUCUCUUUUUGUUUUGUUUUGGGUCCCCCCCACCCACCCACCCUUAGGGAUAGGAAGCUCCAGUCAGCCCGCUGCAUGGGGGGGGCUGUUCAGGUGGCCAUGAGCAAAAACAUUGGUUUUGGUAAAAUCGUAAGCACUUGGACAACUUGUUAUAAAACAAGUAAAGUUGGAGAAAAACUGCUCAGCGAGGUGGAGCUUUUAAAAAAAACGAAGCCAGGGACUGAGAGCCCUGCAGACGAAGGUGCUAGUAGACAAACAACGAUGUAAGUUAGAUCCCUGGAGCACACAAGGAAAGUUGCUCUCUGAUCUAAGAACUGUCAUGAUGGAGAUUAAAAAUCAAAAGUU
This 1197-nucleotide long non-coding RNA is filed under the name Mus spretus (western wild mouse). Its description in RNAcentral is "predicted gene 43714 (ENSMSPG00010050137.1)". The record is from RNAcentral. Lineage: Eukaryota; Metazoa; Chordata; Mammalia; Rodentia; Muridae.